CCCGACCGCUAUCGGGGUAGGGCUAAGCCAUGCGAGUCGCGCGCCCGGGGGCGCCCGGGAGCGGCGCACGGCUCAGUAACACGUGCCUAACCUACCCUCGGGAGGGGGACACCCCCGGGAAACUGGGGUCAAUCCCCCAUAGGGGAAGGGCGCUGGAAGGCCCCUUCCCCGAAAGGGACGGCGGCCGAUCCGCCGCCGCCCGCCCGAGGAUGGGGGCACGGCCCAUCAGGUAGUUGGCGGGUUAAAGGCCCGCCAAGCCGAAGACGGGUAGGGGCGGUGAGAGCCGUGAGCCCCGAGAUCGGCACUGAGACAAGGGCCGAGGCCCUACGGGGUGCAGCAGGCGCGAAUACUCCGCAAUGCGGGCAACCGCGACGGGGCUACCCCGAGUGCCGGGCGAAGAGCCCGGCUUUUGCCCGGUCUAAAAAGCCGGGAGAAUAAGCGGGGGGCAAGUCUGGUGUCAGCCGCCGCGGUAAUACCAGCUCCGCGAGUGGUCGGGGUGUUUACUGGGCUUAAAGCGCCCGUAGCCGGCCCGGCAAGUCGCUCCUGAAAUCCCAGGGCUCAACCCUGGGGCGGGGCGCGAUACUGCCGGGCUAGGGGCCGGGACACCGCCGGUACUCCGGGGGGUAAGGGCCAAAUCCGUUAAUCCCCUGAGGACCACCAGUGGCGAAAGCGGGCCCGCCGAACGCGCCCGACGGUGAGGGGCGAAAGCCGGGGAGCAAAGGGGAUUAGAUAUCCUGUAGUCCCGGCCGUAAACGAUGCGGGCUGCUGUCGGCUGGGUUAGGGCCCCGCCGGUGGCGAAGGGAAACCGUUAAGCCCGCCGCCUGGGGAGUACGGCCGCACGGCUGAAACUUAAAGGAAUUGGCGGGGGGGCACCACAAGGGGUGAAGCUUGCGGCUUAAUUGGAGUCAACGCCGGAAACCUCACCCGGGGCGACAGCAGGAUGAAGGCCAGGCUAACGACCUUGCCGGACGAGCUGAGAGGAGGUGCRUGGCCGUCGUCAGCUCGUGCCGUGAGGUGUCCGGUUAAGUCCGGCAACGAGCGAGACCCCCGCCCCUAGUUGCUACCCGGCCCUUCGGGGCCGGGGGCACACUAGGGGGACUGCCGGCGUAAGCCGGAGGAAGGAGGGGGCCACGGCAGGUCAGUAUGCCCCGAAACCCCGGGGCUGCACGCGAGCUGCAAUGGCGGGGACAGCGGGAUCCGACCCCGAAAGGGGGAGGCAAUCCCGUAAACCCCGCCCCAGUAGGGAUCGAGGGCUGCAACUCGCCCUCGUGAACGUGGAAUCCCUAGUAACCGCGUGUCACCAACGCGCGGUGAAUACGUCCCUGCCCCUU
Molecule: ribosomal RNA, 1331 nt
Filed under: uncultured Pyrobaculum sp.
Lineage: Archaea; Thermoproteati; Thermoproteota; Thermoprotei; Thermoproteales; Thermoproteaceae
Description: bacterial SSU rRNA
Rfam family: Archaeal small subunit ribosomal RNA
Source: RNAcentral